CAAAGUACCUGUACUUGUUUCUGUCUAACGACGUGCUGACAACGACGCCUAGACCUGUGACACAAAGGCUGACAGACAGCACAGAGAACUUGGCACUCUCGUGUGUCAGCGCCUUGCUAAUGAACCGUCCGUAGUCAUGUUAACAGCACACGGUGCUGGUUUACAAAUCUUCAAGCGGCAAUUUCUUUCUUUAUAAUGACUCCCAAGCCCUUUCGUCUUGCCGAGACUUGCGAUCUGAGACCGUGGAGCGAAAAAAAACCCAAAAAAAAACCCCUCCCUUUCCUCCGUGAGUGAAAACCAGGGCUGUUACAGAUCUCCACCAGGACUUCACCCAACGACAUGUUGCUUUUAUGGGUACCGGAGCACGGUUAACCCUCAGUACUGCAGCGCUCGGGUCGAGAGCGAAGCAUACAGGUCAUGACCCUUUAAUAAAGCAUCGUGUGUCAGGUAUAAACUGGAACUCGACACACUGCAGCAAGUUUUUGAGGAUGUGCCAUACAUGAACUCGUCACACUCGGGGGACUCGCGAAGCCGGUUUUACACUUAUUUAUUUAUUUAUUUAUUUUUUAAAACGUGGCAUACUACCAACUCGAAUAUUAUCUCCUGGAUGAUUCAACUGUUAAGUACAACCAAUAGUAGAACAAAGAGCGAAGCUUUCAUCUCCCCGUGCACGUAUACCGUCUCGUCCGUCUCCUUAACGUACGUGAGAGUCUGCGAAGGUUUCAGAGAGACACGACGUUUUGACGUUUUGGACAGAAAUGGAAAAAACCCAAGUAAGUGUUUCUGCAAAGCUGAGCUGAAUCCAACACUAGAGUGGCACACAAAUAUGACAAG
Long non-coding RNA from Ictalurus punctatus (channel catfish), 834 nucleotides. The record is from Ensembl. Lineage: Eukaryota; Metazoa; Chordata; Actinopteri; Siluriformes; Ictaluridae.